GUUUCCUCUCUUGGCCUUGGAGACCCUUUCCCUCUGUCUCCGUACAGGGAAGCUUCUUCCUUCUUUCUUUUUUCUUGCCUAUUAAACUCUCUGCUCCUUGAAACUACUCCACGUGUAUCUGUCAUUUUAUGCAAUUCAGCCUAAGACAAGAGCCCUGGUGUUCCUCCACUCAUUGAAGUCGUAUCAUUUCUUUUUCUUUUUCUUUCUUUCUUUCUUUUUUUUUUUUUUUUUUUUUUUGAGUCAGCGUCUUCGUCUUUCACUCAGGCUGGAGAGUAGUGGCACAAUCAUAUCACAGCUCACUGCAGACUCGACCUCCUGGGCUCAAGCAAUCCUCCCACCUCAGCUUCCCAAGUAGCUGGGACCACAGGCAUGCUCCAUCAUGCUUGGCUAAUUUUUGUAUAAUUUUAUUUUAUUUUUAUUUUUUUUUUUUUGGAGAGAUGAGGUUUCGCCAUGUUUCUCAGGCUGCACUCACACUCCUAUGCUCAAGCAAUCUGCCGGCUUCAGCCUCCCAAAGUGCUGGGAUUACAGGUCUGCACCACACACCUGGCCUUGGAUUUAUUUCUUUUAGUCCAAAUACUCCUUUAAUAUUUCUGCAGUCUUAUAAUUACAAUAUCUGAUCAGGAAGUGAGUCUCCUUUCAUUAAUGUUGUGUGAACUCUCUUUAAAUCAAUUAAUGUAAACAGUAUAUUUUCCAGGAGAGUAAAUUUUUCUUAAAUUGUAUACUUGAUUUUAGUUUCUGUUUCAAGUUUUGUAAUUUGAUUCUUUUUCAGAAAUACCUAUAGAGAAUCAAAUCUUUCUUUUUUCUCCCACAGAUACCAUCUUCUCUUUGAUAGCUUUCAUGUUUUGUACUUUUCAACUUUUUUUUCUAUAUUCUAGGAUGGUUUCUCAAAUUCUCUGAUGUGUUCAUUUUGUUUUGCUAUUUCGAAUAUGGAUUUAGUUUAGGUGCAUAUUUUAGCUCCUCUACAAUGUUUCUUUUUUUUUUUUACUCUACCAGUCUCUAAAAAUCUAUUUCCAUUUCUUUAAUAGGUCAUUUAAGGGAUCUGCAUUCCUUUAAGUGUGUUGUUGAUAUGGUAAUUGGGUCAUGGGGGUGGUUUCCCCACCCUGUUCUCAUGAUAAUGAGUGAGUCUCAGGAGAUCUGAUGGUUUUGUAAGUGUCUGGCAUUUCCCCUGCUUGCACUCAUUCCAUCCUGCCCCCUGUGAAGAAGGUGCCUUUUUCUCCUUUGCCUGCUGCCAGGAUUCUAAGUUUCCUGAGGCCCCACCCAGCAAUGCAGAACUGUGAGUCAAUUACACUUCUUUCCUUUAUAAAUUACCCAGUCUCGGGUAUUUCUUCAUAGCAGCAUGAGAAGGGACUAAUACAGUUGUAUAAUGCUCUUUUUCUUGUUUUAAAAAAAAUACUGUAGGUCUAAACAUUUGGUUGACUGCUUCUGCAUGUUCAGAUCUGGUGUUUUCCAACAGGGUCAUGAAUUGAAAUUCCUGACUUACUUUUUUUUUUUUUUUUUUAAUAACUCCAACUUUUAUUUUCGAUUCAGAGGGUACAUGUGUAGGUUUGUUACAUGGAUAUAUUGCAUGAUGCUAAGGUUUGGGAUGUGAUUGUUUCCUUCACCCAGGUACUAAUCGUAGUACAUAGCAUACACAACAGUUGGCUUUGAAACUUAAUCUCCCCUUCUUCCUCCCAGUAAUCCCCAGUGCCUAUUGUUGCAUCUUUAUAUCCACAUGUACCCAGUGUUCAGCUCCCACUUAUAAGCGAGAACAUGUGGUAUUUGGUUUUCUGUUCCUGUGUUAAUUCACUUAGGAUAAUGGUCUCUAGCUGCCUCCAUGUUGCUGCAAAGGACAUGAUUUCAUUCAUCAUGAAAUCCUUGCCAGUUCCUGUGUUCAGGGUGGUAUUGCUUAGGCUGUUUUCCAGAGUUACUAUAGUUUGAGGUCUUAUAUUUUAAUCUUUAACCCAUCUAGAGUUAAUUUUUGCAUACAGUGAUAGGUAGGGGUCCAGGUUUAUUCUGUAUAUUGCUAGCCAGCUAUCGUAGCCAUCAUUUAUUGAAUAGGGAGUCUUUUCUUCACUGCUUAUUUUUGUUGACUUGGUUGAAGAUCAGAUGUCUAUAGGUGUGCAGCUUUAUUCCUGGGUUCUCUAUUCUGUUCCAUUGGUCUAUGUGUCUGUUUUUGUAUCAGUACCAUGCUGUUUUAGUUACUGUAGCCUUAUAAUAUAGUUUGAAGUUGGGUAAUGUGAUAAUGUGAUGUCUCCAGCUUUGUUCUUUUUGAAUAGGAUGGCUUUGGCAAGCCAGGGUCUUUUUAAGUUCUACACUAAUUUUAGAAUAAUAUUUCUAAUUGUAUAGAAAAUGAUGUUAGUAGCCUGAUAGGAAUAGCAGUAAAUCUGUAGAUUGCUUUGGGCAGUAUGGCCAUUUUAACUAUAUUGACUCUUUCAAUCCAUGAGCAUGGGAGGUUUUUACUGGAAUCUUGUUAAAUCCCUUUUUCUGAUUUGUAAUUGGAUGCACAAAUGAACUACAACCUACUAUGGCCCUUAGGCAGAAAAAUAAUGCGGCAUAAUUACAAAUUGACAAUAUUUAAAUGUUUCCUUCAUAUUUAUUUACUAGUGAAAUAGUUGCUGCCUACAAAGGGAUUUUUAAAUCAAAACCAUAAUACUAAAUAAGAAAUAUCAUUAUCAUUUCCACUUUGGCAGAGGGAGGAUUAGAUUACAUGUUUCCAUGUUACAACUAGAAUUAUUUGUAGAGCCCCAACUGCAUUAUUACUGCUUUCUCACUGUUUUGAUGCCCCUCAUAGACUGGUGUACCUUGCAAUAGUGUAAUGGUAUGACUGGCCUUACUCUUCAUGCAGCUUAAGGCUAAUGACACCUGAGUGUUGACAGGAUCUUAUCUGGAGAAACUUUGCUAUAUUCUACUGCCUGCUUUCUGUAAAGUCAAACAUAGGAAAUAUGUGAAAAACCAUUACAAUGUAGAACUCAGUACUCUCAAUCAUCCUUCUCUGGCUCUCCUAAUAUACCCAUUUUCCUUGAGCACAAUGAUUUCCCACUUAGCAAUCGAUAUUCACUGUCUACCCUAACUUUGUUUAGACUCUUUCUUCUACUUUUCUAUCAUUAUUCACUAUUGAUCUUCCUUGGGAAUCUCAUUCUUCAGCCAACUCUUCUCUCUCAAUUUCUUGACCUUGCUUGUGAUUAGAAAAUGCAUAAAUUGGAAAUUAAAAGAAAAAAGAAGGGUUUAUCCAGCUGAAAUUUUAUGUCUUUUGACCAGCACCUUCUCAAUAAUCCCACCACCUGCAUUCUACCUGCAGAAUUAGCACUACCUGGAUGUGGAAGCUGCGGAGGCUUAUUGCUUGUGCCCUCCAAAGCUGCGGCACAAGAUACACCUGGAGUCACUUGAGCCAUGGCUGGAGCAGCCAGGAUCCAGGGAGCAGCAAUGUAUGGAUACAGGGAACUCCAGGCCCAUCUCACAAAGCCAUUUUGCCCUUCUAGACCUGUGCCUUUUCUCCGUUGUCCUAACACACAACACUUAUCUUUCUUGUUUUCAUGCUAAUCUUAUUAGAAAGUAGUCACUGGGCCACACCCUCAGCAAUCUCUCCCAAACUUGCUUUUUUACCCUUAACAUGAUCAGGCUGUGACUUUUCCAGAUUUUUUCGGCUUUGCUGCCCUUUAGUUGUAAAUUCUGUUUUAAAUUAUUCAUUUGCUCCCAGAUCUCAGUAUAAGCAGGUCAAAGUAACCACACAGCUCCUUCUCUAAUUUGUUUAGAAAUUUUUUCCAGAAAUCCUAGUUCAACAUUCUUAAGUUUCACCUUCAUAAAACCCUAGAACAUGGACACAAUGGAGGCAAGUUCCUUGCUACAGUAUAACAAGGAUGGCUUUUACUCCAGUUCACAGUAAGAUAUUCCUCAUUUCCAUCACACCUUAUCAGAAUGGUCUUUACUGUACAUAUUUCUAUUAGAAAUAUUAAUAGAAAAUGAACAAACAACAGAGUAAGUUUACAAAGCCACAAAUAUUUUGUUGAAAUGAUUAAUAAAAUUGGUAAUCUUAACAAGGAUUGAUCAAGAAAUAAGUAAAGAAACACAAAUUACCUAUAGCAACGAAGGAGUUGAUAUGAUUACAGAGCUCAUAGAUAUUGAAAAGAUAAUAUUAUAAAGAACUUUAUCCUGAUAAAUAUGAUUAUUUAAGUGGAAUGAAAAAAAUCUUGAAAAACACAAUUUACCAAAUCUGACAAAAGAGGAAAUAGAAAAUUUUAAUAGCUCUGUAACUUUUAAAGGAAUUGAACCUAUUACCAAAACCCUUCCACAAAGAAAACUGUAGGCCCUUAUGGCUCAUCACUGAAAUCUAUAAAUCACCUAAAGAAAAAAUAAGUCUUACAUAAGGCUUUUUCAGAAAAUAAAGGUGGCAAUAAUACACCCCAGCUUGUUUUAUGAGGAUGGUAUAACCCUGAUACUAAAAUGUGACAGAGAUAUUACAAGAAAAAUUAUCACCCAACUUAGCCACAUAAAAUGAAAAGGCAAUAGUUUCACAUCUGUUUGCAUCUGAUAAAUGUCUUAAGGACUUGAAUGUUAUAAAUCACUCUACUAUAAUGUGAAACAUCUUUUAUCAAAUAUCACAGGAAUGAUCAAUAUCUGAUGACUGGAGAGGAAAAACAGAAGAGAAAUACAAGUUUCUGCAUGUCAGCCAAACAUAGCUAACAUUAUUUUACAAAGCAUCAGGAAUUGCAGUGGCAUUGUUGUUAACGGAAACUGAAGGCAGAGAACUUACUGAUUUUAGUAUACACCAUAACUUUUAACAUAGUAAUAGACUUCUGAGAGCACUAAUGUCUCAGCAACUUAAUAGGUGCUCCUUGAUUUGUUGGAUUCUAAAGAAUGCCUUGACAAACAUUCCCAAAAUCGAGCUCUCAUACAUAUUAAACCCAGGUAAGGCUGAGUGGCUUAUUGUGAAAUAAGAAUAAUAACCACAAAAUCCUAGAAUACCAUGCCACUAAAUCUUACUAGCAGAGUUCUAAAACAGAAAAAUUAAUGCAUUUACUUAAUACAAGACUAGUUAUUGUGUAGUCUGUGACUUCUCUCCUUGAUGAAUAUUUUUGAGUCCAUUAAAAUAAUUCUCUUUGUCUACUUUAAGACAAAACCUAUUGUCAGCAAUUUUUUCCAUGUGAAAUUGUAAAAAUCUUUUCUUAACAACAUCUAAUUAGUUUUUCCCUAACAAUAUCUUAUUAAUUUUUAUUACACAUCUGAGUAUAUUUGAUGAGUAAAAGGGGAGUCAAAUUAAUGGUUAUGACUCUUAGGAAGAAUGCUAAUAUUUCUUCUUUAAUCGGCACUUAGUUGAAUCCUACUUAUUAAUUACUUUAAACAACUCCCUAUAGAAGACACUCCAGUGCUAUUUAUUGCUUUUAUUCAUGAAAUACAUUUGUAAGAAUAUUUCCAAUGUGUCUGUAUUUUCUUCACCUUUAAUAUAAUAUCAGAGUGAAUACAGUUUUGAUGAAUUAGGAACUAUCUCAAUCCUUUGUGAUACAGUUUAUCUUCAUAGAUGGCCAAAGGAAGCCAUCUUUUUGGAAUGCCUUUAUCAAAUUGCUACUAGAUAGAAAAAUAAAUUAAUAGUCAUGCUGAUCAGGCUGAAGUCUUUGAAGACAUUGGCCUGAAUAAAUAAGGCAAGUCACAGACCCAUGCCACUCUAGUAUGUUUAUUAGAACAGUCGUACCCUAUCAAAAACAUAACUCAGCACAUUACCCAGAUAGUAAUAAUACAGGUCACCUCCUUUAGAGCCAGUAGAUGAAACUGUAAUCGUAUCAACUCUUUCAUUAAUAGCUCUGUAACUUUUAAAGGAAUUGACUCCAUCACCAAAAGCUUUCCACAAAGAAAACUGUAGGCCCAUAUGGCUCAUCACUGAAAUCUAUAAAUCAGCUAAAGAAGAAAUAAUGUCUUACAUAAGGCUUUUUCAGAAAAUAAAGGUGGAGAUAACACACCCCAAAUUGUUUUAUGAGGAUGGCAUAACCCUGAUACUAAAAUGUGAAAGAGACAUUACAAGAAAAAGUAUCACCCAUCUUAGCCACAUAAAAUGAAAAGACAAUAGUUUCACAUCUGUUUGCAUUUGAUAAAUGUUUUAAGGACUUGAAUGUUAUAAAUCACUCUAUUAUAAUGUGAAACAUCUUUUAUCAAAUAUCACAGGAACGGUCAAUACCUGACAACUGGAGAGGAAAAACAGAGGAGAAUACAAGUUUCUGAAUGUCUGCGUUGGUGUUACGCAUUAAAUAAUACUACUUUUUCUUGCCUCUUGUUGAUAUAUGCAGAAAUCAGUAUGCAAUAUGCCAACCUGCUCUUGCCACACCUAUUACUGUGUAACUUAUUCUUAAGCAAAUUAUCCCAAUACAACAGGCAGCUCUUUUGCAAGCUUACUUAAAAUGCUUUUAUUCCUACUCAUCCUAUGCUCAUAUCUUUGUUCCUCUUUUCUCACAAGCACAUGUUAUUAGGCAUGUCUUAUCUUCUUCAUAGUCACUCAAGGGUUUCUGUGUGGCUCUGUGUGUCAAUGACCACUAUACAUGCAAAUGUGCAUGUGUACAAACAUAAUGUCCUGUCUACAGUCAUGUCUACUUGACCCUAGAGUUUCUUAUGGUUUAAUUUCUGUUUUAGUUUAAGUCAAAGAUGUGUUGCUUAGAUAUUCUGGUUAUCAACCAGGCAAGUCUAUUCUUUUGAGCUACUCCUUUUUUCUGUGUAAUCUUUCACUUCAGCUAGUUGCUUGUUAUACCCUUCCAAAAACAUCGCUUCAUCACGCUGUCUCUUACAACUUCUCUAAAAGCCUCUUUAUUAUCAUUUUAAUUAUUCAUCUAAGAAUUGGCUUAUUCUUUGUCUUUUCCAAACUCUAGAAAACCAAAGGGAAUUUUAUCAUUAGGAAGCAUCUAGAGCAGUGGUUAGUAAACCAUGGCCCAUGGGCCAAAUCCAGCCUGCAGCCUGUUUCUAUACAGCUCACAAACUAGGAAUCAUUUUUAUAUUUUAAAGUGGUUGGGACACAAACAAACAAAAUAUAUUUUAUGACACAUGAAAAUGACAUGUAAUUCAAAUUUCACUGUUCAUAAGUAAAGUUUUACUGGAACUUAGCCAUGCCCAUUCAUUUACAUAUUGUCUAUAGCUGUUUUUGCAAUACAGGAGCAGAAUUGAGAUGUUGCAAGAGACCAAAUGGCCUGCAAAGCCUAAAAUAUUUACUAUUAAGUAAAAGGAAAAAAGUUUGCCAACCCUUGAUCUAGGGAAUUAGAAAAAUGUAAAUUGUUGUUCACAAGGUUAAAUGAUUUCCCCAAGGCCAUAGGAAUUUAUUGCUGAGCCCAGGCAGGAACUUUGAUUUCUUUAUUCAUCCAUUGGUGCCCUCCUUGUUGUAUCAUAUGCCAACUACCCAUUUAAAAGACAUAGUUAACCUUGUAACUGAAAGACAAGGGGAAACUCCAUUUCUCGUUGGGUCUUCUGCAUUUCCAACGUUAGUCAGUCACAAAAAAACACUGUGGAGGAGAUCAACAUUUAGAUGACUACAGAAACAGGGAUUAUCAUACAAUGAAUAAUUAACUAGGUAGCAAAGAUUAUUUAUACCCUUACUAAUCCUGGGUUUUUAAAAAAAUCAAUAUUAAUUUUAGUUAGAAAGAGUUGUAUUAAUAUUAUAGUGUUGCACUUCACAUAUUACUUUUAUAUGCAUGUAUAUUCUUAGAAAAAAACAAGAACCCAUUUUCUGGGAUAAUUUAUCAUCUUGCUUUAAAAUAAAGGAACAAAUUCUGCUGCCAAGAAGCUUCUCACAUGUUCCCCCCUUAUCAGGAUAAAUAAUUGUUUGAUCAAAAUAGCAGCCGGCCUAGUGCCCCUGGCUGAGACAGCUGAUUAAUGAACUUUAAUUACUAGUUACAGCUCUAGAACCACCCAGCAGCCUUCGACCAACCUCUUCCUGAGCAUCAACCUCCUUUUUCUGCUUUUGCCUUGGAAAUAAUGACAGUGUCUCCUCUAGACAUCCACAGGCCUGUGGGGAGAUAGAAGUUCACAGCAGGAAUUGCAGUUAAUUUCUUGUUUCUUCUUUACUGGACAGAAAAACGAAGAGACUUCAGAGAAAAGAUAAAGUGGUAACUAUCCCUUUGUAACUCUAACCCAAAGUUCUACUGCCCUUUUUCGUGAAAAUACUUUUAAAAAAUCAUACGUGAGAAAGGGGAGGGAGGUAUCUGUCAUCCUUUUCAGAGCCCACCCGUGCUGCUACAUUGCCCUGUGGGGCACUCCUUGCUAGCCAGCUUCUGUGGAGGAGUGAAGUUGUUGUUGUCUCAGCUUCAGUGCAAAGUAUUAGGGAAGACAAUACUGUCAUUUGCUGUUAGCUCUGUAAUUCCCUACACCACUAGACUAGUGGGUGUCUGUGACUUGAAGGUAUAGGCAUAACUAGAGAGGGUAGGUAGGUAAUGAGAUAUGGCAGGACUUUAAUAUACUAAAUAUGACUGUUGCCAGAGUACAAAGAAAAGACUGACCCUGGCCUGGUGUCUCCAUCUGUGGACAUACACCAGUUCAGAGCCUUUUCCCCAAUCUCAAGUUCACGCUGCUCCAUCAUUCAAGGAGAGAUGCUGCUUUAUGAUGUAGUCAGAGAAUAAAUUUUCCUUGUCACCUUAGCAAUACACUACCACUACCCACAAGAACGGUAUUUACUUUGGGCCUUCUCUUCUCCUCCUCACUAAGGCAAUACAUACGAUUAGGUAAAAAAAACAAAAACAAACCAGCAUUAUCUGUGGCACUGGCAAGAAAUGCCUGAUGUUGAAUUCCCAAAAGUGUCAUCAGACACCUUGUUCAUAAAGACUGACAGAAUGUAUUCAAACUCAUUGUAGUAAAGCAGACAGAGUCUUAGUAUUGGAGGAAAUUUAGAGGAUUUGGAGUUUGGCUCAAGAGUUUUCAAAAUGGGAUGAGUUUAAAGCAGAUUUUUUCAAGCAGGAAAAUUAUUAGAAUUGGACAAUGUUCAUAACACAGUAGUUUAGGGUUGGUGAAUGCAUUGAGGUGAGGUGUUGACAUGAUAAGUAAACCUUUGAUAAAUGAUCUUUACUGAGGUGAACAAACUUAUCUCUGAUAAAUUGAUUUGUAGGAAUUUCUUGAAGAAAACAGUAAAGUUGUUUACUGGUUUAGUUUCAUGUUAGAGUGUUUUUUAAAUUUUUUGUUUGUUUGUUUUGUUUGUUUUUAGAAAAAAAUCAACUAAGGCAUGUGGAUAUAGAUGUUUUCAGUUUUCAUCAGAAUGACCAUUAGUACUCUAUGGUAUCAAAAAAAAAAUAUGUGUGCUAUUGACAAUCCAAAUUUGUGGCUUUGUAGUAUUUCUAACAGUAUAAGGAAACAUACAUAUACAAACAUAUAUAUUGUUCUAGAAUAAAUAUUAAUUUAAUCGUUAGGGGUUAUACAAGCCAUAAUACUCAGAAAGAAAGAUAAUUUUUUUUUCCUCGGGUAAUACAAUUUUUAAAGGUUGUCUGUAAUCACAAUGGAAGAUAUAGAUUUACAUUAUUAUCCAGAUGAGUUUCAUUCUCCACCUUAUCUCUAGAUCAAACCACGUAAUUUCCUGGUUUAGAGACUAUUACUAGUAGGUAGUAUGUAGCCAUGUAUCCUGUCCAAAACAGAACCAUCUUUCCAUUAAAAUUCUUAGCAGAGGCUUUGAAGUUAAAAUUUACUUUACUGUAGGCCAUAUCAAAUUCACUAAUAUUUGAAAAAUGAAGGUAAACCAUACAUGCCUUUAUUAUAUCUAAAUUAAAGCCAAUCAGUAGGGUGGCACUUGUUCUAGAUAACACAGUUAGUUGCAAAUUAUUUUAUCUUUUCUCCUUUUCUUUGUUUUUCAUACAAAUGACUCCAGUAGAGCUUAAAAUAGUUUUUUUUUCUGUUUCUUUGUUUUGUUUAACUUUUAAGUUCAAGGGUACAUGUGCAGGUUUGUUAUAUAGGUAAAUUUGUGUCAUGGGGGUUUGUUGUACAGAUUAUUUUGUCACCCAGGUAUAUUAAUCCUAGUACCCAUUUGUUAUUUUCCUGACCCUCUCCCUCCUCUCACCAUCCACCCUCUGAUAGGCUCUAGUGUGUGUUGUUCCUACCUUUGUGUCCAUGUGUUCUCAUCAUUAGAUCCAAUUCAUUUGUGAGAACACGCAGCAUUUGGUUUUCUGUUCCUGCAUUGGUUUGCUAAGGAUAAAGUCCUCCAGCUUAAUUCUGAGAAUUCAUGGAAUAAAAAAAAUUAUGCUAAAUUUAAUCAUUCUGAUACUGAUUGUUAUAUAUUAUUUAUUUUAGUAAAAUGAGAAUGUUAAAACUUCAUAGUGAUUUUUGCAAGUGAAGAAAAGGAGAAUAUUUCACCCCAAAAUACACCUCUUUGACAUACAUAGUUUUAAGCUUACUGCAAUUGGGAAGCAGCAGUUACAGAAAAGACUGACUUUCCCUUUCUUACCUAUGGCAGGCUAUAAACAUUCCUAUAAAAAAGAUGCAGGGGGGCUCUGCCUUCUCUUUCCACAUGUAGAUGGAGAUAUAAGUUCUCGCUUGCUUAUCAGCCCAGAGGUGGCACCAGCAGAGUCAAAGGAAUUUGGGAACAGACUUUGACUAUUUUUAUGCAGCUUUUCCCACAUUUGGGACCCUAAAGCUACUUGUUAUUUCUGUCUUAACACUUCUAAAUUGAUUGUUCUUUGUUAGAUAUGCUAUAUAAGCAGGAACCCUAAGCCAUCAUAUUAUGAGAAACUUUUGAACUGAGGUUUCUCCCGUGUGGUGUACACUGCACAGAUAGAUAAAAAUGUCUGUUUUUCUCUUGUUAAUCUGUCUUUUGUUACAGAAGUGUUCCCACUAUGCACUUAAGGGGUUGAGAAAGAAGUUAUAUAUUUUCUCCCAUUUACAGGGAAAAGUUGUGUAUUCAUCCAAUCAAGAAAUAUUUAUGUAUUUACUAAUUUCUUACCAGACACCACACACUAGGUUGGAUACAAGAGCUUUCAAAAUGGGGUAAAGAAAACAAAAAUCAUAAAUUACUUCUAAAAAUAACUUUUAAGCCAAUAAAUGAGAGAAAUACAUAAACUCUUAUAGUACAAUGGAAUAAUCUAAUCAUGUUUAUGUAAAGAUGUUUUGGAAAGGUCUAAAUCCAUUUAUGUUAAAUUUGGAUACGAAUAGGGGCAAGUUAUAGAAAUAUAAUGUUUUUUUUCUGUCUAAUAUGUGCCAAGCAUUUUAUAUUAUUUUAUUUAAACAUCACUACAGGCUGUAGAAAUUCAAUGUUUAUCCCAAUUUUGUAGGUGAGGAAAUUAAUGCUUAUAAAUAUUAGAAAUACCAAAGGCACAACAACUAGUAAGCAGUCAAGCCUGGCUUGGAAUCCAGUUCUUUUUGGUUCCAAAUUAUUUACUAUUUUCAGUACGCUGAGCAUCUCCAGGAAACACAGAUCUGAAUUCUGGAUUUCAGGCAGGAGAUAUUGAGAGGUGACAACAUGCUAGCAGCCCUCGCUCAUUCUCAGCAUCUCCUUGGCUUCGGCAUCCGCUCUGGCUGCACUCAAGGAGCCCUUCAGCCCGCCGCUACACUGUGGGGGACCCUCUCUGGGACUGGCCGAGACCAGAGCUGGCUCCAUCUGCUUGCCAGGAGGUGUGGAGGGAGAGGCGCGGGCAGGAGCCGGGGAGCUGGGUUCCGGAUGGGUGCAGGCUCAGCGGGCCCUGCACUGGGCGCAGCCGGCCGGCGCCUACUGGGCUUGACUGGGGGAUGAGCUCCCUUUGGGCUGCCGGAGUGCCUGGGCUAGAUGCCGCAAAGUCCCACAGCGAGUGCCAUUGAGAGGUGAAGCCAGCUGGGCUUCUGGGUUGGGGAGGGACCUGGAGAACUUUUCUGUCUAGCUAAGGGUUUGUAAACACACCAAUCAGCACUCUGUGUCUAGCUAAAGGUUUGUAAAUGCACCAGUCAGUGCUCUGUCAAAACGGACCAAUCAACUCUGUAAAAUGGACCAAUCAGCUCUCUGUAAAAUGGACCAAUCAGCAGGAUGUAGGUGGGGCCAGAUAAGGGAAUAAAAGCAGGCCACCCAAGCCAGCAGCAGCAACUCGCUCGGGUCCCUUUCCACGCUGUGGAAGCUUUGUUCUUCUGCUCUUUGCAAUAAAUCUUGCUGCUGCUCACUGUUUGUGUCCACGCCACCUUUAUGAGCUGUAACACUCACCACGAAGGUCUACAGCUUCACUCGUGAAGCCAGCGAGACCGUGAACCCACCAGAAGGAAGAAACUCCGGACACAUCUGAACAUGUGAAGGAACAAACUCCAGACACACCGUCUUUAAGAACUGUAACACUCACUGCAAGGGGCUGCGGCUUCAUUCUUGAAGUCAGCGAGACCAAGAACCCAACAAUUCCGGACACAAUAUCAGUAAAUUAUUCCACUACCAGAACCAGGAGAGUGAUAAAAUGAAAGCAAAAUUUUAGAAAAGUAAUCUGAGAGGAAUUUUGGGAAUCAAGUAAUAAUGUAUAGAAGCAGAUAAUUCAAAUAGCUUGCUGAGAUAUCAACAUAAAAAGGGCUUAGGCUAGAAUAGUAACAGCUAAUAAAAAUUAACAUGACCAACUACUGUAUACCACAUUUUGUGCUUGGCAUUUCACAACGACUUUCAGGAUAAAGUUAUGAGGUAGGUGAUAUUAUCCCCAUAUUACUGUCUGGAGGUAAAGCAACAUGACAAGGUCACAUAGCCAAUAAAUAGAAGAAUUAUGAUACAAACCCAGAUCUUUUUGGUUCUGAAAACUGAAAUCUUAACCACUAUGUUAUAGUAAGAUUAGAACAGAAAUGUCAAAUAUAAUAUUUUGGAGAAUCUUUUGAUAACAAAAUAAGGAAAGAGAAUGUGCUUGAAAGUAUUAAGCAGAAGUUAUCAGUGCCAACGACAGAUCAGAUGACAAAGCUAGACCCUGAUGCAGAAUGCCCACCUCCUACAAAUAAUUGUUUCUGUCUUGUUUCCCAUCACCAUUUAUAUCAUCACUGCCACUAUGAUCAUCCAGUAGCACCUACACUCUCAUCUUCAUACUUCUUUCGAUAUUCUUCUAUUUACUCCCUUCCAUCAAUGCUUCCCUACCUUAUAAACCCUUCCACUCUGUUGGGGGACUAAUGGACACACACAUAUCGAUGGUUCCUCGGAACAAUGUAAUGAGUUCUGUGUUUCUCUUUUUGUGUGGUAUUGCUGUUCUAAAAACUACAGAUAUCAGUGUUUUUACAAACUCAAUGUAGAUUGAUGCCUAGAAAACGAUAUCCUCUUCUGUUCCCACCAUUCUUCUCCAAACCCUAUCACGUCCUUGAAAUACUGUUCUACGAUCAGUAUGUUCCCGUAUAUUCUGUCUUCUCUGUAAAUUCCCUCCAGUUCCUUUGUCCCAACUGACACUUCAGAAUCUUCUGAGGAUCUGAGGAGAUUGCCUUCUUUGUAGCCUUCUCAAGCAGAGGUUUUCUUUUGUUCUUCCGCACUAGCCAGUUCUACCCAAUCUGACUUUAUAAUUGCUGAUCCACCAAUUUUGUUUUCUACAUCUACCUGUCUAUCAGCAUUUUUAUUGAAUUCAAAAUCCAAGAGGAAGACCUAUUCAACAGGCUGAUAAUGCAUGGUUUGCCCUCUUCAUUUUAAAUAACAUUUACUGCCAUCUCCAUCUCAACAAAUCAUCCCCGUGGUCAAAUCCUGUGGUAGCACUCCUCACACAGGGGCACCAGCUGCCGGGGUCUGCCUGCAGACCCUGACCCAGCGACGGAUGAAUAAAGUACACUGACACACAGAUAAUCUGUUUUGCCAGUUCAGCUGAGUGUCCAAGCCAUUUACAAAUUCCCUGCUGAGUAUUGUGAACAGUUGCAACUAUGGCCCAAUCAGCUGAUGAGACUCACAUUUAUUCAGUAAGAUUAAUUCACAAAGGCUUGAGUCAACACCAUUAGAGGGUAAUUGACAUUGUGGACUUCCCGAGUAAAAAGCACUUAAGCACCUGUGGUACAUCAAAGGUUAGUCUUAAGACCACAUGAGUAAACAAGCUAGCUAGUUAACUACCCCACAUUCCUUUGUUACUACUCUACUUUAUUUAACUAAAGGUUAAGAUCAGGUUGUCUUCAACCAUAUCUGUUACCAAAGUUAUGCAAACUUCUUGGCCUUCCAAGAUUUGUGUCUAUCUCUGUAACUAUCUCUAAUAUUUUCCCUACCAGCCUGACUGAACCCAACAACAUUCUAGAUGCUUCUCUUCUAGAAACUAUGUCAACUACAGCAUCUGUAUUUCAACCAUAUUGCUUUACAACGAUUGUCUUUUACUUUUCUAUCUCACUUGCAAAAGUACCAUUGCUGAAAUAAUUCCUCAACUUCAUUGAGGACCAAUUCCUUGACCUCGCGAUUUUCUCAUUACCAUACUGUCUCCUUGUAUAUUAGUUUUCCUUUUAAACCACAUUAGAUUAUAUGGUUCCACACUACCAUCACUCAUUAAAAAAACUUGUUUGCAAAUAUCCUCAAUUUCUCUACAUCUGCCACUUUCUAUGGUAAUUCUCUGACAAACCAAAUUUUUAAUGAGUAAUUCACCUUCUAACAUGAAGACAGAAGAAACUUCUGUGGCUGGAAAGAAAUAUCAUAUGAGUAAGCUGACUGGUUUUUACUUAAAGGGAACAUCAUGAGCUUUAAGUGGGCAUUCUACAUGGGCAGUCAUAUUCUAAUGAGGAAACAGAAACAGUCAGAGAAGAACUUUCUUGUUUUCUUCUAACCAAAUCUAUAAAAUGGCCUUAAUCUGCAUCUAUCUGAAACUUUUUGCAGUGUAUUUUCCAUCACUAAUCACAGCAUACAGGUUUCAAAGAAUUUCUACAGGACUGAAAAAAACCAAAUCAUGCCAAAUAGUGGGAGGAAGAGCUACCUUAUUCCAAAAAAUACUAGUAUCAGAACUCAGGUUUCAUUAAAUACAUUGAUACCUAGAAUAAAAGACUCUCUUGCAGCUUUCUGUGGCCAGAUGACUUUUGUUCAAUGAAAUAUUAAGCACUGUGUUGUAUCUCCAGAAAGUCCCCAUUUUGCUUUUCUCUUCUUUAUUCUUAUUUUUGUGCUGUCAUGAAAGUGAUUUCAGGAGCUUCAGAAUCCAUCUAAUACCAUGAAGUAACCUUGAAGAAACCAUGUGCAAGGGCUACAGAGGAGAAAGAAGAAAGCCUGGCCUCUAAUCACACUGUGGAUAUGCUUCCACUGGCCAAAUCUGGAUUUCUUUUGUAUAAAAUAAGAUAAACGUAUAUGUUGUUUAAACCACUUUUGUUUGUUUUUAAUUUUUCUGUCAUAUGCAUACAUCAAAAUUCAUAAAUGAUGUGGUUUACCUGCAAAUAUCAAGAAUAUGCAAUACAGGCUGGGGUACAGUGGCUCAUGCCUGUAAUCCCAGCACUUUGGGAGACUGAGGUGGGCAGAUCAUUUGAGGUCAGGAGUUCGAGACCAGCUUGAGCAACAUGGCAAAAUUCUGUUUACAAAAAUACAAAAAAAUUAGCCU
This 15377-nucleotide long non-coding RNA is filed under the name Homo sapiens (human). RNAcentral's name for it is "HSALNT0321514". Lineage: Eukaryota; Metazoa; Chordata; Mammalia; Primates; Hominidae. The record is from RNAcentral.